This 505-nucleotide ribosomal RNA is filed under the name Penicillium sp. GBPI_P11. RNAcentral's name for it is "eukaryotic LSU rRNA". The stretch from base 200 to 352 matches the Rfam family "5.8S ribosomal RNA". Lineage: Eukaryota; Fungi; Ascomycota; Eurotiomycetes; Eurotiales; Aspergillaceae. The record is from RNAcentral.
GUAACCUGCGGAAGGAUCGAUUACCGAGUGAGGGCCCUCUGGGUCCAACCUCCCACCCGUGUUUAUUUUACCUUGUUGCUUCGGCGGGCCCGCCUUAACUGGCCGCCGGGGGGCUUACGCCCCCGGGCCCGCGCCCGCCGAAGACACCCUCGAACUCUGUCUGAAGAUUGUAGUCUGAGUGAAAAUAUAAAUUAUUUAAAACUUUCAACAACGGAUCUCUUGGUUCCGGCAUCGAUGAAGAACGCAGCGAAAUGCGAUACGUAAUGUGAAUUGCAAAUUCAGUGAAUCAUCGAGUCUUUGAACGCACAUUGCGCCCCCUGGUAUUCCGGGGGGCAUGCCUGUCCGAGCGUCAUUUCUGCCCUCAAGCACGGCUUGUGUGUUGGGCCCCGUCCUCCGAUCCCGGGGGACGGGCCCGAAAGGCAGCGGCGGCACCGCGUCCGGUCCUCGAGCGUAUGGGGCUUUGUCACCCGCUCUGUAGGCCCGGCCGGCGCUUGCCGAUCAACCC